GGAUGCAUAGCUCAGUGGAUAGAGCAACCGCCUUCUAAGCGGUCGGUCGUAGGUUCAAAUCCUACUGCGUCCG
Molecule: non-coding RNA, 73 nt
Organism: Leptolyngbya sp.
Lineage: Bacteria; Bacillati; Cyanobacteriota; Cyanophyceae; Leptolyngbyales; Leptolyngbyaceae
Source: Rfam